UAGCUAUCAAGGGGUCUGGGAGAGAGCGAUGAUGACCCCAGGUUCUGAUUCCCCAGACCCUCCCCUCACUUCUGACCCUUUCCUUUCCUCUCUGCAGGGGGAUAUCCAGGAGCUUAUGAUCCUGCAAGAUGCUCAGGCUGCCUUCAGGGCCUGUGAAAACUUGCUGCCCAGCUGCGACACCCCCACUACCCCAGCCACCCCAACUGCAGGGGUGAGCACACCUUUGUAUUUGCCACAAGAUAAAUGACUGGGACAGCUAGAUGGCACUGUGGAUAGAGUACUAUGUUUGGAAUCAGGAAGACCUGAUUUUGAAUCCUACCUCAGAUACUAGCUACCGAAUGUUAAGCUAACUAAGGCCAGAUGACUUCAUCUUUCUUGGCUUGAGUUUCCUCACUUGUAAAAUGAAGGGAUUUGACUUGACCUGUAAAGUCCCUUCCAGCUUUAGAGCUAUGAUCUUUAUGACUUUAUAUGCCCUGGCAUGGGAUAAAUAAGUCUCCUAGCAUGGAGUGGGUGAUCCCUGACUUGUUGGCGUGGAAUGGAUGACCCCUGCCCUGGGGCAAGUGGUUUUCAAUUGCUCACUUUGAGGCAGGCUGACCCAAGAAUUAGCUCACUGUCCAGGAUCCUAUGUGACCAGAAUGCCUGGGUUCCCAACCUAGAGAAGGGCUGCUUACCGGGAAGCAUCUUCUGGGCCCUGAGCAGAAUGCCUUCUACCCAGGUGGAGCCAGAAACCCCUCCUCCCCAAAGGAAGAGGAAGGGGAAAGGGAAGGGAAAGGGCCGCAAGGGCCGCAAGGGCAAGGGCAAGAAAAAGAAAAACAAGGACUCUGAGAAACCAGAAGUGCUCCCAACUUCACCAGAAGGCCAGAUCACCACUCACAUUCCUGAGGUAGAGACUUUAACUCUUCCCUCUGAGACAGAGACUGUGGCUCCAACUGCCCCUCUGAAUGUCACAGUUGUCACAUCCACAGUGGCCAUCAGUCUCAAUGGCACCACCUAUAAAGACCCUGGAAAUGAGCCAGUGUCCUCUGAAGCUACACACAAGCUCCCUGAGCCACGGGAGGGCAGGGGUGAGGAAUGGGGAAACUCUACUAUGAACCCCAUCUAUGGGCCAGCUGAGCGGGGGUCAGAGACCCAGAUCUACAUAUUUCCUAAUGCUGGUGAAAAAGGUCAGAAAGGGGAGCCAGCAGUUAUUGAACUGGUGAGUGGGGGACAGUAA
RNAcentral lists this long non-coding RNA (1213 nucleotides) under Phascolarctos cinereus (koala). RNAcentral describes it as "lncRNA (ENSPCIG00000031346.1)". Lineage: Eukaryota; Metazoa; Chordata; Mammalia; Diprotodontia; Phascolarctidae. The record is from RNAcentral.